This 283-nucleotide ribosomal RNA is filed under the name Scytonema millei VB511283. Its description in RNAcentral is "partial 16S ribosomal RNA". It matches the Rfam family "Bacterial small subunit ribosomal RNA", at positions 470 to 763 of the family's 1533-position model. The record is from RNAcentral. Lineage: Bacteria; Bacillati; Cyanobacteriota; Cyanophyceae; Nostocales; Scytonemataceae.
AAAUGCGGUCCUGAGGAUUAGCAUCGCUAAUCCGUCCAGCGCCGCGGUAAUACGGGGAGCAAGCGUUAUCGGAAUGAUUGGGCUAAACGUCCGCAGGUGGCAAUUCAAGUCUGCUGUCAAAGCGUCUGGCUUAACCAGAUAAAGGCAGUGGAAACUACAUGACUAGAGUAAGGUAGGGGUAGAGGGAAUUCCCGGUGUAGCGGUGAAAUGAGUAGAUAUCGGGAAGAACACCGGUGGCGAAAGCGCUCUGCUGACCUCAACUGACACUCAGGACGAAAAGCUG